UACGUAGGUGGCAAGCGUUAUCCGGAAUUAUUGGGCGUAAAGAGCUCGUAGGCGGCCUGUUGCGUCCGCUGUGAAAGCCCGGGGCUUAACCCCGGGUCGGCAGUGGAUACGGGCAGGCUAGAGGUAGGUAGGGGAGAAUGGAAUUCCCGGUGUAGCGGUGAAAUGCGCAGAUAUCGGGAGGAACACCGGUGGCGAAGGCGGUUCUCUGGGCCUUACCUGACGCUGAGGAGCGAAAGCGUGGGGAGCGAACAGG
Molecule: ribosomal RNA, 253 nt
Filed under: uncultured bacterium
Lineage: Bacteria
Description: partial 16S ribosomal RNA
Rfam family: Bacterial small subunit ribosomal RNA
Source: RNAcentral